CGUAACACGUGAGCAACCUUCCGAAAUAUGGGGGAUAGCCGGCCUAACGGCCGAGUAAUACCGCAUACGCUCUCGAUGGGGCAUUUCAUUGAGAGGAAACCUCCGGGGUAUUUCGAGGGGCUCGCGGCCUAUCAGCUAGUUGGCGAGGUAACGGCUCACCAAGGCAACGACGGGUAGCUGGUCUGAGAGGAUGGCCAGCCACAUUGGGACUGAGAUACGGCCCAG
RNAcentral lists this ribosomal RNA (225 nucleotides) under uncultured bacterium. RNAcentral's name for it is "partial 16S ribosomal RNA". It matches the Rfam family "Bacterial small subunit ribosomal RNA", at positions 109 to 334 of the family's 1533-position model. The record is from RNAcentral.